Molecule: non-coding RNA, 1640 nt
Organism: Physcomitrium patens
Lineage: Eukaryota; Viridiplantae; Streptophyta; Bryopsida; Funariales; Funariaceae
Source: RefSeq, a predicted model, not a curated record
AUGGCAUUUCCUCAGAGGAUUCGAGAUUUGAACCCUUCAAGUUUUUGUCUGAGCCGUUUGUUUGAAGGAAGAUUUUACUGAGUUUUAUGGUCUGCUUUUGUUUCUCUUGUUCGAAGCUCCAGAUUUUGCUUUUGGUAUUUUGGUCGCUGUUGUUCCUGCUCCAGCAAGUUCUUGCGGCGAUCCUCUCUUGUGUGGAGAGAUGGAUCUCCAGGGAUUUAUAUAGCGGGUCGUUUCGGGCAAUGGGACGUGAGAGUGGGCACAAUGAGUCAUGUUGUAGUCGGCAAGGAUGGUACGAGCGUAAUUGGAUUAGUGGAGAAGUAUUCCCCCAUCAGUUUGUAAAAACUGUACUCCUAAGAACUUCUGUAUAAGGCUAAGUUCCACCAUUUUGAACUCUUUCUGUAGUAGCCUUUUGAGAGUUGCGAUGGCAUGCGGAUCUGAGCCUGUGAUCAAUAGAUCGUCUACAUAUAGAACCAGCAUUACGGCCGAGGAUACAUGUGUGGUGUAGUAAACAUUUGAGUCGGCUUGCUUACGGGACAUACCUUUGUUGCGUAGGAAACUAUCUAUCCGACUAUACCAAGCUCGUGGGGAUUGCUUCAGUCCGUGGAGUGACCAGUUCAACAUGCAGACUAGAUGUUCGGAGCCUGGAGUUAUGCACCUUGGGGGUUGGAGCAUGAACACAUCGUCGUGGAUAUAGCGGUUGAGGAAUUCUGUGGCCACAUCCAUGUGGUAGAUUGGCCAUGAAUGGUGUUCGGCGAGGCCGAUGACUAGGCGAAUGGACUCCCACCAAAUUGUGGAUGCGAAAGUUUCUUGAAAAUUCACUCCAUGUUGCUGUUCGAACCCGCAUGCCACGAUUCUGGCUUUGUGGCGGGCAGGGCCGCCAUUGAUACCAAGCUUGACUUUAUAUAUCCAUCGAGCACUGAUUGGGCAAACUCGGGGAGGUAGAGGGACGAGAUCCCACGAAUUAUUCUUGAGGAUGGAGUUGAAUUCUGAUUGCAUAGCUGAAAUCCAGCGGAGGUCAUAUUGGGCCUCCUGGAACGAAAGUUGUUCGCUCCCUUCCUCUGUGGUGGCUAUGAAGAAUUCGGCUAGAUCAACGCGGACAUAGCUGUCAUGGGAGCGCGGCGGAGCUCGAAUGUGGGUCGAGCGGCGAAUAUGCUGCGGUGAUUUGUCGGCGAGGUUGUGAGAUUGCGAAGCGUGUGAUUGCGAUUGUUCGUCCAUAUUAGCCGCAGGAGGUUUUCCGGUAGGAGUAAGAAUAGGAUCUUGGACUACCUAGGCAUUGCUGGGGUCUUGAUGGAGGCCGGCCACCGCCUCGUCAAGCCGUCGACGGAUGGUCGUCUCCAUCCUGUGUCUCUCCUCCGCCUUGUUAAUACACCACUUCUUGUAGAACUUUACAUACCUACGAAUUUUCCCAAAAAAUCCCAAAUUUGCGUGUGCAACCCACAGCCGACGUAUUUGAGCCUGGACCGCUGGGUCGUUCAAAAAUGUCGAAUUCAUUACGUAACGCAAAUUCCUCCUCGGUUAUGGGAAUAGUUGUACCUCCUUCCACACGGAGAGGUAGUCCGAGUGGGUGUUAUCACCUCUGAUGUGGUACUCUGAACUCUUGGGCUUGGACCCGGGUAAUGAGAAGGCAUAUAUCCGAUCGA